GAUAAACGCUAGCGGCAGGCUUAACACAUGCAAGUCGAGGGGCAGCAUAGAUUGUAGCAAUACAAUUGGUGGCGACCGGCGCACGGGUGCGUAACGCGUAUGCAACCUACCCGUCACAGGGGGAUAAUCCGGAGAAAUCUGGUCUAAUACCCCAUAACAUAUGGAUCGGCAUCGGUUCAUGUUGAAAUUUUCGGAGGUGACGGAUGGGCAUGCGUAGCAUUAGCUUGUUGGGCCGGUAACGGCUCACCAAGGCGACGAUGCUUAGGGGGACUGAGAGGUUUUCCCCCCACACUUGUACUGAGACACGGACCAGACUCCUACGGGAGGCAGCAGUGAGGAAUAUUGGUCAAUGGGCGCAAGCCUGAACCAGCCAUGCCGCGUGCAGGAUGACGGCUCUAUGAGUUGUAAACUGCUUUUGUACGAGGGUAAAGUGGGUUACGUGUAACCUUUUGAAAGUAUCGUACGAAUAAGGAUCGGCUAACUCCGUGCCAGCCGCCGCCGUAA
RNAcentral lists this ribosomal RNA (504 nucleotides) under uncultured bacterium. RNAcentral describes it as "partial 16S ribosomal RNA". It matches the Rfam family "Bacterial small subunit ribosomal RNA", at positions 28 to 523 of the family's 1533-position model. The record is from RNAcentral.